AGAGUUUGAUCAUGGCUCAGAACGAACGCUGGCGGCGCGCCUAACACAUGCAAGUCGAACGGGGUACUUGGAGCUGAUCGCUUCGGCGUGAAGCACCUUGUUACCUAGUGGCGAACGGGUGAGUAACACGUAGGUAACCUGCCCUCAGGAUUGGGAUACUCCCGAGAAAUCGGGCUCAAUACCGAAUAUGAUUCCAGGGUGAAAUGCCCAGGGAUAAAAGCUGUGAGCAAUCAUGGUACCAGAGGAGGGGCCUGCGGCCUAUCAGCUUGUUGGUGAGGUAGCGGCUCACCAAGGCUAAGACGGGUAGCCGGACUGAGAGGUUGAUCGGCCACACUGGAACUGAGACACGGUCCAGACUCCUACGGGAGGCAGCAGUGGGGAAUUUUGCGCAAUGGGCGAAAGCCUGACGCAGCGACGCCGCGUGGGGGAAGAAGGCCUUCGGGUUGUAAACUCCUUUAGUAUGGGAAGAAGUCCCGAGCAAUCGGGAUGACGGUACCGUAAGAAUAAGCCACGGCUAACUCUGUGCCAGCAGCCGCGGUAAGACAGAGGUGGCAAGCGUUGUUCGGAUUUACUGGGCUUAAAGGGCGUGUAGGCGUCCUGAUAAGUCAGAUGUGGAAGCCUUGGGCUUAACCCAAGAAGUGCAUUUGAAACUGUCGGGAUUGAGUCGUGCAAGGGAGGGCGGAAUUCCUGNNGUAGCGGUGAAAUGCGUAGAUAUCNNAGGAAGGCCGGUGGUGAAGACGGCCCUCUNGGNAAUGACUGACGCUGAGGCNCGAAAGCGUGGGGAGCAACAGGAUUANAUACCCUGNAGUCNACGCCCUAAACGGUGCGUACUAG
This 834-nucleotide ribosomal RNA is filed under the name uncultured bacterium. Its description in RNAcentral is "bacterial SSU rRNA". It matches the Rfam family "Bacterial small subunit ribosomal RNA", at positions 8 to 819 of the family's 1533-position model. The record is from RNAcentral.